Molecule: ribosomal RNA, 708 nt
Filed under: uncultured bacterium
Lineage: Bacteria
Description: bacterial SSU rRNA
Rfam family: Bacterial small subunit ribosomal RNA
Source: RNAcentral
CUAAUACAUGCAAGUCGAGCGCAGGAAGCAGACUGAUCUCCUUCGGGAGUGACGUUUGUGGAAUGAGCGGCGGACGGGUGAGUAACACGUGGGCAACCUGCCUGUAAGACCGGGAUAACUUGCGGAAACGUGAGCUAAUACCGGAUAAAGCUCCAUGCCGCAUGGCAUGGGGAUGAAAGACGGCUUAGCUGUCGCUUACAGAUGGGCCUGCGGCGCAUUAGCUAGUUGGUGGGGUAACGGCCUACCAAGGCGACGAUGCGUAGCCGACCUGAGAGGGUGAUCGGCCACACUGGGACUGAGACACGGCCCAGACUCCUACGGGAGGCAGCAGUAGGGAAUCUUCCGCAAUGGACGCAAGUCUGACGGAGCAACGCCGCGUGAGCGAUGAAGGUCUUCGGAUCGUAAAGCUCUGUUGUCAGGGAAGAACACGUGUGAGAGUAACUGCUCACACCUUGACGGUACCUGACCAGAAAGCCACGGCUAACUACGUGCCAGCAGCCGCGGUAAUACGUAGGUGGCAAGCGUUGUCCGGAAUUAUUGGGCGUAAAGGGCUCGCAGGCGGUCCCUUAAGUCUGAUGUGAAAUCUUGCGGCUUAACCGCAAGCGGUCAUUGGAAACUGGGGGACUUGAGUACAGAAGAGGAGAGUGGAAUUCCACGUGUAGCGGUGAAAUGCGUAGAGAUGUGGAGGAACACCAGUGGCGAAGGCGG